AUUGAACGCUGGCGGCAGGCCUAACACAUGCAAGUCGAGCGGAUGAAGGGAGCUUGCUCCUGGAUUCAGCGGCGGACGGGUGAGUAAUGCCUAGGAAUCUGCCUGGUAGUGGGGGAUAACGUCCGGAGACGGGCGCUAAUACCGCAUACGUCCUGAGGGAGAAAGUGGGGGAUCUUCGGACCUCACGCUAUCAGAUGAGCCUAGGUCGGAUUAGCUAGUUGGUGGGGUAAAGGCCUACCAAGGCGACGAUCCGUAACUGGUCUGAGAGGAUGAUCAGUCACACUGGAACUGAGACACGGUCCAGACUCCUACGGGAGGCAGCAGUGGGGAAUAUUGAACAAUGGGCGAAAGCCUGAUCCAGCCAUGCCGCGUGUGUGAAGAAGGUCUUCGGAUUGUAAAGCACUUUAAGUUGGGAGGAAGGGCAGUAAGUUAAUACCUUGCUGUUUUGACGUUACCAACAGAAUAAGCACCGGCUAACUUCGUG
This 484-nucleotide ribosomal RNA is filed under the name uncultured bacterium. Its description in RNAcentral is "partial 16S ribosomal RNA". It matches the Rfam family "Bacterial small subunit ribosomal RNA", at positions 30 to 507 of the family's 1533-position model. The record is from RNAcentral.